UUGGAGGGCAAGUCUGGUGCCAGCAGCCGCGGUAAUUCCAGCUCCAAUAGCGUAUAUUAAAGUUGUUGCAGUUAAAAAGCUCGUAGUUGAAUUUCGGGGUCAGAGUGUCGGUCGUGCCUCGGUACGCACUGGUAUUAUUGGUUCCUACCUUCUGAAGAACCGCGAUGUCAUUAAUUUGGUGUCGUGGGGAAUCAGGACUGUUACUUUGAAAAAAUUAAAGUGGUUAAAGCAGGCUUACGCUUGAAUACAUUAACAUGGAAUAAUGAAAUAGGACGUUUGAUUCUAUUUUGUUGGUUUCUAGGAUUGACGUAAUGAUUAAUAGGGAUAGUUGGGGGCAUUAGUAUUCAAUUGUCAGAAGUGAAAUUCUUGGAUUUAUUGAAGACUAACUACUGCGAAAGCAUUUGCCAAGGAUGUUUUCAUUAAUCAAGAACGAGAGUUAGGGGAUCGAAGACGAUCAGAUACCGUCGUAAUCUUAACCAUAAACUAUGCCGACUAGGGAUCGGAUGAUGUUAAUUUUUUAUUGACUCAUUCGGCGCCUUACGGGAAACCAAAGUGUUUGGGUUC
This 564-nucleotide ribosomal RNA is filed under the name uncultured Glomeromycotina. RNAcentral's name for it is "SSU rRNA". It matches the Rfam family "Eukaryotic small subunit ribosomal RNA", at positions 548 to 1114 of the family's 1831-position model. Lineage: Eukaryota; Fungi; Glomeromycota. The record is from RNAcentral.